This is a small nucleolar RNA of Rhopalosiphum maidis (corn leaf aphid), 177 nucleotides long. RefSeq annotates it as small nucleolar RNA U3. The transcript has a single exon. The record is from RefSeq and is a predicted model, not a curated record. NCBI's taxonomy places the organism in Eukaryota, Metazoa, Arthropoda, Insecta, Hemiptera, Aphididae.
AAAAUCAUACUUUACACAAUCAUUUCUGUAGUAUGCGUCCUCCCUUUUAUGUGCAAAGUUGGAGCUAUCAUUGGCCCCUACGAUGAGACUUAGUUCAUGUAUCUGAGCAUGCUACGCAGUUGGACUAUUCAGCGGUGUUGCGCAAGAUAUAUAAAGUAUGUAGACGGUCUAAGUGGU